This 339-nucleotide transfer-messenger RNA is filed under the name human gut metagenome. It matches the Rfam family "transfer-messenger RNA". From Rfam's summary of the family: Bacterial tmRNA, also known as 10Sa RNA or SsrA, is named for its dual tRNA and mRNA-like properties. Its role is to liberate the mRNA from a stalled ribosome. The record is from RNAcentral.
GGGCCUGUACUGGUUUCGACAGGGGUCAUGCAGCUGGUGAAGCUAUCCCCAUGCGAUGGGUUAAAUGGCAAAAUUAAAAUUAAACGCUGAAGAUAAUUUAGCAUACGCUGCCUAAUGGCAGCUGUCAGCCCUAGUGCACUCACACAUUAGGAACCUGGCAUCGACUAUGUGAGAAACGACACAUGCAAAGCUUUGAGCAUGCGGGCGUAUCAUGAAGCUACUAAAGUGUUCAGGGUGUUAGUUCCCGGGGCAUGGAGGGAAUGUCAAAGAACUGACUAUGAUAGUAGAAGAACAGGGAAUUGAUUUUUGGACACGGGUUCAAAUCCCGUCAGGUCCACU